GACACGGAAAGAUCAAGCUGAAGUGUUUUCUGGUGCAGCAAAGUGGUGUGCGAAAUGCAGAAAUUCUGGUGCAUCAGUAGCAGAUUUAUUCUGCAUCUUUUGUAGCUGUUUCUGUAAUAUAUGGUAGAGCAACUUUACCACACCUCCACCCAGCAGCUCUGUUAAACAUCAGGAAUCACAGCAGACGUGCUUAUUCCAGAUCACGUGACAACCCUUCCAAACAAGUCAUUCUACAGCAUUUGCAUUUGACAGCAAAGUCAAUGCAACCGUAACAGCAGCAUAGUCCACUUUGCAGCUGAGAGAUUUGUGUGUGAACCCAGUAGAUUCAAUCUUCUUUGAGAGCAAUCUGGAGCUGCCACAUUCAAUUCUUUUUUUUGCUUCACCAAUUGUAUUUGUUCCAUCAUUUCAAUUUCUUGUAAUUGGCCAUUAAAACAAGUGAUUGGAAAGAACUCACAAGUGUUUUUCCAUCAUUUGUAAACUUUUGCUCUUAAUUUCUCACUAAAAUUGGUAGACGGUGAGUGUGUCUUGGAUCCAAAGUCCAAGCCUCACCUAAGAGACCUCACUUCUUUCAA
This is a long non-coding RNA of Vigna radiata var. radiata (mung bean), 572 nucleotides long. RefSeq lists it as uncharacterized. The record is from RefSeq and is a predicted model, not a curated record. The transcript is spliced from 2 exons. Lineage: Eukaryota; Viridiplantae; Streptophyta; Magnoliopsida; Fabales; Fabaceae.